GCGUGCUUAACACAUGCAAGUCGAACGGGAAGGCCCCGCUUUUGUGGGGUGCUCGAGUGGCGAACGGGUGAGUAACACGUGAGUAACCUGCCCUUGACUUUGGGAUAACUUCAGGAAACUGGGGCUAAUACCGGAUAGGAGCUCCUGCUGCAUGGUGGGGGUUGGAAAGUUUCGGCGGUUGGGGAUGGACUCGCGGCUUAUCAGCUUGUUGGUGGGGUAGUGGCUUACCAAGGCUUUGACGGGUAGCCGGCCUGAGAGGGUGACCGGCCACAUUGGGACUGAGAUACGGCCCAGACUCCUACGGGAGGCAGCAGUGGGGAAUAUUGCACAAUGGGCGGAAGCCUGAUGCAGCAACGCCGCGUGCGGGAUGACGGCCUUCGGGUUGUAAACCGCUUUCGCCUGUGACGAAGCGUGAGUGACGGUAAUGGGUAAAGAAGCACCGGCUAACUACGUGCCAGCAGCCGCGGUGAUACGUAGGGUGCGAGCGUUGUCCGGAUUUAUUGGGCGUAAAGGGCUCGUAGGUGGUUGAUCGCGUCGGAAGUGUAAUCUUGGGGCUUAACCCUGAGCGUGCUUUCGAUACGGGUUGACUUGAGGAAGGUAGGGGAGAAUGGAAUUCCUGGUGGAGCGGUGGAAUGCGCAGAUAUCAGGAGGAACACCAGUGGCGAAGGCGGUUCUCUGGGCCUUUCCUGACGCUGAGGAGCGAAAGCGUGGGGAGCGAACAGGCUUAGAUACCCUGGUAGUCCACGCUGUAAACGGUGGGUACUAGGUGUGGGGUCCAUUCCACGGGUUCCGUGCCGUAGCUAACGCUUUAAGUACCCCGCCUGGGGGAGUACGGCCGCAAGGCUAAAACUCAAAGGAAUUGACGGGGCCCCGCACAAGCGGCGGAGCAUGCGGAUUAAUUCGAUGCAACGCGUAGAACCUUACCUGGGUUUGACAUGGAUCGGGAGUGCUCAGAGAUGGGUGUGCCUCUUUUGGGGUCGGUUCACAGGUGGUGCAUGGCUGUCGUCAGCUCGUGUCGUGAGAUGUUGGGUUAAGUCCCGCAACGAGCGCAACCCUUGUUCACUGUUGCCAGCACGUUAUGGUGGGGACUCAGUGGAGACCGCCGGGGUCAACUCGGAGGAAGGUGGGGAUGACGUCAAGUCAUCAUGCCCCUUAUGUCCAGGGCUUCACGCAUGCUACAAUGGCUGGUACAGAGAGUGGCGAGCCUGUGAGGGUGAGCGAAUCUCGGAAAGCCGGUCUCAGUUCGGAUUGGGGUCUGCAACUCGACCUCAUGAAGUCGGAGUCGCUAGUAAUCGCAGAUCAGCAACGCUGCGGUGAAUACGUUCCCGGGGCUUGUACACACCGCCCGUCAAGUCAUGAAAGUUGGUAACACCCGAAGCCGGUGGCCUAACCGUUGUGGGGGAGCCGUCGAAGGUGGGACUGGUGAUUAGGACUAAGU
RNAcentral lists this ribosomal RNA (1438 nucleotides) under uncultured organism. RNAcentral describes it as "16S ribosomal RNA". It matches the Rfam family "Bacterial small subunit ribosomal RNA". The record is from RNAcentral.